Anas platyrhynchos (mallard) is the source of this 1236-nucleotide long non-coding RNA. RefSeq lists it as uncharacterized. NCBI's taxonomy places the organism in Eukaryota, Metazoa, Chordata, Aves, Anseriformes, Anatidae. The record is from RefSeq and is a predicted model, not a curated record.
CAGCGUCAGCGGCGGUGAAAGUAAGCCCGGCUCCCGCACAGUGAUGCCAAGAGAGCAAUUUUUAAACCACGGGCAGGACUUGUGGCGGAGGGGGGGAACCUCAGGGACGCGAGGCGAAGCCUCUCCCACGGUGGAAGUCCUGCAAGUCCAGCAGUCCUCUGAUGCUCACUACCAGAUGUACUAAGUCUACAACACCAAGGAGACACUUGCUCUUCCAGCCUCCUCUCUUCGUAGGCAGCUCCCUAAUCAAGCAAUGAAAUUUGUGUAGAACAUGAUUUAGCACUGAUUUACUACUUCCUCACCUCAUCUAUAAACCUGGUCUGCCUACCUGGUAGCAUCUUCCUUCUUCAAGGAAUUGUACUUCAAUAGGAGAUUACCAAUUCUUUAUUGAUCAUGUGCCAGGAGCAAAAUUUUCUUCUGUCACCUCUUGUGGAAGCAAACUAUUUUUGACCUGACACAGCUAUAUAUAGAGAUUACCAAGUAUCAAACAGAAUUCAUAAGCUGUACGUAGAGAGAUCCCCCAAACUGUCACAAGUCCUUAGUUAGAUAAUCAUAGACAAUGAGGAUUAAAGCUGUGUAAGGAGGAAGGAACAGAAUAUAUGAUGGAAAGGUGGAGCCAUUCUGUGGGAAAUUUUCAUUUCCAUAACGUGUUAUUGUUAUUUUUCCUUUCCCAUUAUGCUGUAGAUUUUGUGUUACUUGCAUGCAAAAGAGUAAUUACUUGCUACUCCACAGCUGAGGUUGCAUUGUAAUUUGCACUUAUAGCAGGACUAAAAUCUCUGUGUUUCAUACUUGAGUGAUUGCAGUUAGACUACACAUUUGGCACAUAACACUUGAGAAUUACAGCUCAAUUUUCUUUUCUUUUUUCUUUUUUCAUAAUAUUUGUUUGCCUCUUGUAAAGUAAAGAACUUAAUUACCCUCUUUUUCAAACGUUUCACAUUUUCUUCACAUUUCUGAACUCUUACAGAAGUAAUUCUGAGGUAUCCCAUGUAUUGCAAGUCAUUCUUCCUUUAGAAUAAGAACCCAGGUAAAGCCAAUUCUGGAGUGUAUCUUUAGAAGUUUGUAAAGCUUGUGUCCUGGAUUAAUAUUUUGAUGAUUUUUUUUUUUAAUCUGAUGUCUGUUUCUCAUGUUAUUUUCAUUUUCCUUAUUGUUUUCUGAUGGCUUCUAGCUAUAGUCACUGUAUUACUUCUUUGUAUUUAGUACUGGUGCUCCAAGAUCAUUAAAUAAUAUUAAAUGGAA